Molecule: ribosomal RNA, 247 nt
Filed under: uncultured Actinomycetes bacterium
Lineage: Bacteria; Bacillati; Actinomycetota; Actinomycetes
Description: uncultured actinobacterium partial 16S ribosomal RNA
Rfam family: Bacterial small subunit ribosomal RNA
Source: RNAcentral
AGCGAACGCUGGCGGCGUGGAUAAGGCAUGCAAGUCGAGCGGUAAGGCCCUUUCGGGGGUACACGAGCGGCGAACGGGUGAGUAACACGUGGGUGACCUGCCCUCAGCUCUGGGAUAAGCCUGGGAAACCGGGUCUAAUACUGGAUAUGACUCCAUGACGCAUGUUGUGGGGUGGAAAGCCUUGUGCGGCUGAGGAUGGGCCCGCGGCCUAUCAGCUUGUUGGUGGGGUGAUGGCCUACCAAGGCGA